UUUUUUUUUUUUUUUCUUUCAUCAUCACAUAAAGAUGUGAUUUUCCCCCCGUAAUACACAUAUUUUCCUUCCUUCCCACUUUCUGGAUAAUUACUGGUCUUCCUUUUUGGCUCCACUUUCUUUUCCCAAACAUUAGAUAGUAUUUUUCUUCAUGAUUCUAACAUGUUCUCUUCUCUUUUCACUAUGCAUACUAAAAAUAUUGUGAUUUAAAUUAUCAUCUGAAUUUUUAUGAUCCGAGAGCUCUCAUCUUUGCUCAGGAGAAAUGAAUCUGACUAGCAUUCAUGAGGACACAGGUUCGAUCUUGGCCUCGCUCAGUGAGUUAAGGAUCCAACUUUGCUGUGAGCUGUGAUGUAGGUCACAGAUGAGGUUCAGAUCUGGCAUUGCUGUGGCUGUGGUGUAGGCUUGCAGCUAUAGCUCUGAUUGGACCCUUAGCCUGGGAACCUCCAUAUGCUACAGCUGUGACCCUAAAAAAAAAAAAAAGACAAAAAAAGGUAUCCAAGAGUUCCCGUGGUGGCGCAGUGGUUAACGAAUCCGACUAGGAACCAUGAGGUUGCGGGUUCGAUCCCUGCCCUUGCUUAUCAGGUUAAGGAUCUGGCAUUGCUGUGAGCUGUGGUGUAGGUCGUAGACGUGGCUCGGAUCCUGUGCUGCUGUGGCUCUGGUGUAGGCCAGCGGCUAUAGCUCCGAUUAGACCUCUAGCCUGGGAGCCUCCAUAUGCUGGGGGAGCAGCCCAAGAAAUGGCAAAAAGACAAAAAAAAAAAAGUAUCCAGGAAUUUUUUUCUUUAACCAAAUGUCUCAUGGACACCUCUAUAGGAUCCUUCAUCUACUCAUAAACCAGCUUCUACUGAGAGGCCCGUAAGUGUGUGAUAUCAUCACCAAUUAUCUGCAUACCAACCUUAACUCCUUCCCUCUCAUCUCUCUAGUAGUACUAUUCUAUUAAUUACUGUUGAUAUUGGGCCAUUGUUGACCUAUAGCUGAGUGGCUCAUAGGUCCACUUGCUUUUAUCCACCACUAACAUGCUGCCUUCAAUCAGAGCCCCAGCCUUGAGUGCCUAUAUGUGCUCAGAACUCUCCUUCACGGCUGAGGUAUAUCAAUGAAUGAAACUAAUAAGAAAUAGCUGUCUUUGUGGAUCUUACAUUCCAGUGGGGGAGAGAAACUCUACACGUAAUAUAGUCAAUAUAUUCAGACAUAAAAUCAACAUAAUAAAUAAGCAAAAAAUAGGAAAUCAGUAAGCGAUGCAUUAUGGAAAAUAAAAACUAUAGAGACAGUAGUAGGAUCUAGAAUGCCCAGGGAGAUGGGAAGAGGGGAAAGUCUGAAAUACUAAGUAGGAGAUUUAGGAUCAGCCUCAGUGAGGCAGUGAGAUUUGAGCAAAGUUUUGAAUGAGGUGAGGGAGUUAGCCACGUAGUUAUCUGAAGGAAGAAUAUUCCAGACAGCAGAAGCAGCUAGAAAAAAAUUUCACGGGGCAUAGAGUGGUAGUGUAUCUUCUAUGUUCAAGGAGCAGCAGCUCUGUCAGUGUGGUUAGAAUGACAGAGGAAGAAGGAGUCUACAGCACGAGGUGAGGCGAUGGGAAUUCUAACAGGGCACUACACAAGGUUGGGGAUCGAGGGUCCUUGGUAGGACUUUAGUUUUCACACUGAGCAAAAGGGAUCCAAUGCAGGGCCCCAGACUGAGGAGUGACCUAAUCUGGUUAUAUUUAAAACUGAUCAUCUGGCUGUUGUGUUGAGAACAGUCUGUCAGAGACCUGGCAGCACCUUCUGCAGAAAUCCAGGCAAAAGAUGAUGGUGGCUUUGGACCAGGGUUGUAGCAGUGGUGAUGGUCAGAAGUUAUCAAAUUCUAGGUACAUUUUGAAGGUAUAACCAGUAAGAUUUCCUGAUGGGUUGUAAAUAAGAAAUGAAUUAUCCAUUGCUCACAGUAAUGCUCUUCACGACUAGAACUUUGGGGUGUGUGUGUGUGUGUGUGUGUGUGUGAUAUUUAGUCUCAAAAGGGAUAUAUAUAUCCAAUGUUUUCUACAUGACAGGCACUGCACCAAUCACUUUAAAUAUAUUAAUUUAUUUUACCCCUUCGAUAGACUUAUAAAUCAUUGCUAUUAUAACGAUUCCCAUUCACAGACAAAGAAAGAGAAGCACAGGGAAUUUAAGUGAAUCCUUGAAGGUCAUUUGUUCCUUAAGCCAUAGAACUAGAAUCCAAACGUGGCCUGUGAGAUUCCGCCCAGGGGCUUGCAAAGAAAGGGAGGAAAAUUGUACACACAAACCAUAUUCUUAAUAUACUAAUAUUUAAAAUACAGGGAGAAUAGGAGUUCCCGUUGUGGCUUAGUGGGAAUGAUCCCAACUAGUAUCCAUGAGGAUUCGAAUUCAAUCCCUGGCCUCACUCAGUGGGUUAAGGAUCUGGUGGUGCUGAGAGCUGAGGUAUAGGUCCCAGACAUGGCUCAGAUCCUGCAUUGCUGUGGCUGUGACUUAGACCAGCAGCUGCAGUUCCAAUUUGACCCCCUAGCCUGGGAACUUCCAUAUGCUGGAACACAUGGCCCUAACAAGAAAAAAAUAAAAAUACAGGGAGAGAAAAUGUAGUUUCCUUUUGGCUACAACAAAACUGUAAUUUUUUUCUGCAAAAGGGUUGCAUUUAGGGCAACUGUUUCCCAGCAGAGACCAUCGGCCUGAACAUCAGCCUCUGCUGGCAGAAAGAUUCUGGAAAUUUUUAUAACUUGCUGUGACAACUUUGAUGUUAAAAUCCAAGCAAGUUUACAGAAAGCUUAUUAUUUUCAGUGACGGUAAUUCCAAGGAGAACGCCGUGGGCUUGCUGCCCUGACACAGCCCCACCCUCGACCUUCACACAAAGAAGCCUCUGAAGGGAGAAGACAGAGGAGCCUUGCUCACCACCUAUUGCAUGACGGGCCUGCCUGCUGGGUUGUGGGUAGAAUUCCCGCCAAGAACAGUUUCUGCAGGGGGAAGAAGGAGUUCUCAUUUGUUACACAACGCAUGAUAAAUUCCUGGCCCAUUUUCCCUUUGCCCUGUAGUAUCGAAGAGGAAAGACUUGCAUGACAUUCCAUGUUAUGCAAAGUAAUAUCACUAUCAGCAAAGUGAUUAUCAUAAAGUUGGCAAAAUUGAUUUUUUUCCAGAAGGUUUCUAUUUUCCUGAUAUUACAAAUUGUCAAUACCCCCUGAGACACCAUACCUUGAAGAAAGUGAAGACCAAAGGUGAGAGGGAUACAGGACAGAACAGAAGUUAUGCUCCAAACUUGACUUUGGAACUUGGAAAAUAUUUUCACAGGACUGGAAACAAUUUAAUUUCUCUCUUCUUUAUUUUUACUUUCACCAAUAUAUAUUAACUACUUACUUUUUAAGAGUAUAGAAAACAAUCAUUCUUCAUUGUAGACAAAAGUUUAUGGAUAGAGGAGUUCCCGUCGUGGCGCAGAGGUUAACGAAUUCGAUUAGAAAUCAUGAGGUUGCGGGUUCGGUCCCUGCCCUUGCUCAGUGGGUUAACCAUCCGGCGUUGCUGUGAGCUGUGGUGUAGGUUGCAGACGCGGCUCGGAUCCCGCGUUGCUGUGGCUCUGGUGUAGGCCGGUGGCUACAGCUCCGAUUGGACCCCUAGCCUGGGAACCUCCAUGUGCCGCGGGAGUGGCCCAAGAAAUAGCAAAAAAGCCAAAAAAAAAAAAAAAAAAAAAAGUUUAUGGAUAGGAAAUGUCUUUGCAUAUUAAAUAUAUGGAUAUCAUUGGAAACAGAAGUACAAACUACACGUUAAUGUUAUUGCAGUAUAUACGCAAGAGACACAGGCUUGAACAUAUGUCUUAUUUAUAUUUUAUCUUGAUAAUUCCUGGACUCGUUUUCCAGAUUUCAUAAAAGAAACUGUUGAUGUUUUGAAAAUGUUUUCCAUAAGAGGCAUCCCCAAAUGCAUUUUUGACUAGAGCAAUGAUUUUGAACUUGAGAGCAUUCAUUUAGAUUUUUGUUUGGACCUCUUAGUAGUAGUAACUGUACAGUGGCCUUAUCCCAACAUUACACUUUCGCAGUUCACGAUGAAACAUAUCUCUGCUUUACCGGAAGAGGGAAAUGCACACUGGAAUGUAUGGGAGUGGAAAAGGGGGGUAUUUUCCAUAUGCUGAACGUGUUACACCAGUUUUCUUUCCUCUACCUUCCUCCACAUCCUUAACUUUACUAGUGAACUCUUUCCUCACUAGUAAAUGGGGAAGGCAAUUUCCCCACGAAAUGAGCAGAAUAGGAAACAAUGGUUCUGCAUCUUCUAAGGAAAGAACAUUCGUGAACAUAGGAUUUACCCUUUAAAAAAAAAUUGUGUGUUUCUGUGGUUGAUACCUUUACCCAUUUAAAUUUCACAUUUAAAAAAUUAGACGACUUUCCCAAUUUAGAGGGGAUGUUAAGGAAGCAGGCACUGCUCAUGGGAUUUAUGUUCUUCAUUUUAAUUAAUAAGAAUGUUCUAAAAGUAAACACAUAGCUGACUAUUUGAAUGUUCUUCAAAUAUGAGGUGACUAUCUUAGGGUCAUAAGUUAGAGUGAGUGUGAUGACAAGGGACAAAGAAACUCCAAGGGAUCAGUCAUGGACCAACAUAGAGAGCAGUAGAUUUGUGUGGCUGCUUUUCAUCAGGGAUGACAUAAAUGACCACUGACCCGAAACUGUUUCUGUGCUGUAGAGAAGAAUUAAGUGAAAAUAUGAAGUCACUGCUUUGGUAAAGUGAGUGGAGAAAAUUUUCUUUAGAUCUGGCCCAAACCUUUAGUGUGCAAUACCAGGCUGUCUUCUUAGAAAAGGGUGGGCGAAAAUACAACAGGAAAAAAAUGCAAACUAACGCCUCAUUAAGCUCACCAGCCCCUGAAUACUAGAGGAUGCUUGGCUUUCAUCCUUUUUAACUAUCUGGAAGGUGCAAGAGUGGGAAUCCAGCAGAAGACAUUGUUAGCUGGAAAGAUGCAUCUUUCUCAUCCAAAAACAGAGUGUUUCUUGAAUAGGAAGAAAGCACCCUGAGAAAUGGGUUUCUGCUUUAAAAGUUUGGGGAUCAAGAGUGCAUUGUUCAUGGUGAUAUAUAGACAAUGAAACAUUAUUCUGCCAAAAAAAAAGAGACAAAAUUCUGUCAUUUGCAAGAACAUGGAAUCUUGAGGUCAUUAUGCUAAAUAAAAAAAGUCAAACAGGGAGUUCCCGUCAUGGCGCAGCAGAAACGAAUCCAACUAGGAACCAUGAGGUUGCAGGUUCGAUCUCUGGCCUUGCCGUGAGCAGUGGUCAAGGAUCUGGUGGUGCCUUGAGCUGUGGUGUAGGUUGCAGAUGCGGCUCGGAUCCCACGUUGCUGUGGCUCUGGCGUAGGUCAGCGGCUACAGCUCCAAUGUGACCCCUAGCCUGGGAACUUCCAUAUGCCACGGGAGCGGCCCUAGAAAAGGCAAAAAGACAAAAAAAGGAAAAAAAAAA
This 5392-nucleotide long non-coding RNA is filed under the name Sus scrofa (pig). RNAcentral's name for it is "lncRNA (ENSSSCG00000055714.1)". Lineage: Eukaryota; Metazoa; Chordata; Mammalia; Artiodactyla; Suidae. The record is from RNAcentral.